GGCUCAGGAUGAACGCUAGCGGCGCGCUUAAUGCAUGCAAGUCGAGCGAUGAGGCCUCUUCGGGGGGUAAUCAGCGGCAGACGGGUGAGUAACACGUAGGUGAUCUACCCCAGAGACGGGGAUAACGGGUGGAAACAUCCGCUAAUACCGGAUAGGCUUGUUCGGUCAAAGGGACAAGGAAAGGCUCCGGCGCUCUGGGAGGAGCCUGCGGCCCAUCAGCUAGUUGGCGGGGUAACGGCCCACCAAGGCAGAGACGGGUAGGGGGUGUGAGAGCAUGGCCCCCCACAAUGGGACUGGAACACGGCCCAUACUCCUACGGGAGGCAGCAGCAGGGAAUAUUGCACAAUGGACGGAAGUCUGAUGCAGCGACGCCGCGUGGAUGAAGAAGGCCCUCGGGUUGUAAAAUCCUUUACAGGGGGAAGAGGAAGGACGGUACCCCUGGAACAAGUGUCGGCUAACUACGUGCCAGCAGCCGCGGUAAGACGUAGGACACAAGCGUUAUCCGGAUUUACUGGGCGUAAAGCGUCUGCAGGCGGACAGGUAAGUUGGGCGUGAAAGCUCCGGGCCCAACCCGGAGAGGUCGUUCAAUACUGCGUGUCUAGAGGGUGUCAGAGGGGAGUGGAAUUUCCGGAGUAGCGGUAAAAUGCGCAGAGAUCGGAAAGAACACCAAUGGCGAAGGCAGCUCCCUGGGGCAACCCUGACGCUAAGAGACGAAAGCUAGGGGAGCGAACAGGAUUAGAGACCCUGGUAGUCCUAGCCCUAAACGAUGGAUGCUGGAUGUGGGGCCAUAGCGCUCCGUGUCGAAGCGAACGCGUUAAGCAUCCCGCCUGGGGACUACGGCCGCAAGGUUAAAACUCAAACGAAUUGACGGGACCCCGCACAAGCAGCGGAGCGUGUGGUUUACUUCGAUGCUAC
RNAcentral lists this ribosomal RNA (915 nucleotides) under uncultured organism. Its description in RNAcentral is "bacterial SSU rRNA". It matches the Rfam family "Bacterial small subunit ribosomal RNA", at positions 21 to 960 of the family's 1533-position model. The record is from RNAcentral.